RNAcentral lists this ribosomal RNA (253 nucleotides) under uncultured bacterium. RNAcentral describes it as "partial 16S ribosomal RNA". It matches the Rfam family "Bacterial small subunit ribosomal RNA", at positions 524 to 776 of the family's 1533-position model. The record is from RNAcentral.
UACGUAGGGGGCAAGCGUUGUCCGGAAUCAUUGGGCGUAAAGCGCGUGUAGGCGGCUUGGUAAGUCCGCUCUGAAAGCCCGGGGCUCAACCCCGGGAGGCGGGUGGAUACUGUCAAGCUCGAGUCCGGAAGAGGCGAGUGGAAUUCCUGGUGUAGCGGUGAAAUGCGCAGAUAUCAAGAGGAACACCUGCGGCGAAGGCGGGUUGCUGGGCCGACACUGACGCUGAAGCGCGAAAGCUAGGGGAGCGAACGGG